AUGACCCCUGAGCGCUGCUUGGUCUUCUUCUAUGGUGGGCUUCGCCUGGCUGUUCUAUCAGCGCCAUCUGCCAUGAAAAUCCUGCAGCCCCGGUCUGUUUCGCGGACCCCCCAGAAGAUCUGCAGGAUCGAGUGUGCGGUGAUCGGCGUGCCGGCGGUGGGCGACGGGGUCCACUGGUACAGGGAGACGCACUCGCAGCACCUGCACUGGAUCGCCUAUUUCAUCGACGACACUCUGCAGUCCACCCUGGACCCCCUGAGUGACAGGUUCUUCGUGGUUCGAGCCAGUGAGAUGAACACGUUCGUGCUGACCAUCACGGACGCGAGAGCGGAGGACAGCGGGGUCUACUACUGCGCCGCCCGAGGGGGUCACGCUGUCUUCAACUCCCCUACAUGUCGUUCAUAA
Molecule: non-coding RNA, 405 nt
Organism: Polypterus senegalus (gray bichir)
Lineage: Eukaryota; Metazoa; Chordata; Cladistia; Polypteriformes; Polypteridae
Source: the annotation of a RefSeq genome assembly